CCCAAGCUGAGUCGUCGGGACAGUUGGAGAACUUUUUCAGGCGUGACCAGAGUCAAGUAUUGGCAAUUGAAUCAGAUACUCGCGAUUUUCACUAUGUGGAGACAGCAUGGCGGAGUGGAAGAAGCUGUGAAGGAAAAACCUGGAGACCUCUGUUCUAAUUCCUGCUCUGCCAGACCCCACCAUCAGGGCUUUGGAUAAGUCCUCGACUCCCUCUGUGGAUCUCAGCGGACUCAGUUAUAAAUGCCCUUCAGCCUACUAUGCGAACUGGUGCUGUCCUUUGGCACCCCCUGCUGGUGUCUACGGCUGUUGCACAUGCCUUCACGGGGAGGUCCUUGCAGAUACGAAGGCUGCGAGUGGGAACCCGCCGGGAGAGGCCAGACUGCUGUUCUCCAGGGAAGAAAGCAAACCAAACACUCACUGUUGUUACAUUACAACUUUUAACACACUGCUUUUUAGAGACUUAACUGAGCAUGCUGAUUGUUUUUUUCAAGUUGCAUUAAUCGGACACUUUUUUGGCAUAAACACUAUAAAUGCUUAGCCUGCUUCAAGUUGAAGAUUUACAAAAUAGCAAGGACUGCUACAUUAUUGUGGGGAAAUAAAACAUAAUAUAGGAAGUAUUCAGGUAUUUGUUAGAAGUGUUUCCUUUGCACAUGAUUAAUUCAAAUUACCAGAGAUAUUAGAUAACCUAUCCCCUGAUGGUACCUUCCCUAUA
Molecule: long non-coding RNA, 712 nt
Organism: Leopardus geoffroyi (Geoffroy's cat)
Lineage: Eukaryota; Metazoa; Chordata; Mammalia; Carnivora; Felidae
Exons: 3
Source: RefSeq, a predicted model, not a curated record